ACGGCGCCGUCGCUUGCGGCGGUGAUUCGCCUCGGGUUGGCCGUUUUCGGCCGUUUCCGGUCGAAUUCGGCCACACUUGCAUCGGUCCCUGCGAUAAACAACCCUAGGGCCCUCGGGGGGCCAAAAAAUUACGAAAAACUGAAGCUUACCGGCGGCAGUGCUCUCGAGUGCGGCGGCUCUCCGACGAGGUUCGUGUUUUGGUGAUUUGGCUCCGAUCAAUCUGUAGAGAAAAGAAUGGUGAUCACGGUGAUAUAAAAAUUGUAUCAAACGGAGGCCGGGAAGGGCCUCAUUGGAGGCAAAAAUUGAGGAGGGGCGCGGCGGCGCCGCUGGGUUUCGGCCGUGUUUUUCGGCUGUUUGGCCGGGAUUUUGGCUCCGAUUUGGCCACAGGGGAACUCAGCAUUGAAAAACGAGCUAGGGGUAUGAAAUU
RNAcentral lists this long non-coding RNA (427 nucleotides) under Carica papaya (papaya). Its description in RNAcentral is "long non-coding RNA (CPAP_LNC003657)". Lineage: Eukaryota; Viridiplantae; Streptophyta; Magnoliopsida; Brassicales; Caricaceae. The record is from RNAcentral.